ACUACGGGUGCCCAGGACCAAACAGUCAGCAGUAAACUACGGGACCUAAGGGACUUCCACCUACACCACCAGGGAGACCCACGUGGCAACAGGACACCUUAGACGCUUGAACCUCGCCCUACUGGACCACGGCCCAAACAACAUCCCAGCUCCAGCUGGUUGAAGCCCAGGCUUAAGCCAUCAAACCAUCUACGGGACCAAGGAGACCUCCACCUACUAAACACCAGGACCAGGUUGGAGGGCUCCCUCUCCACCAUCCCGGAACUAUUGGAUGAAGUAGAGUUUCCACCACUACCAGUCAGCAGUGUUGCUGAUCCCCGAAUUGGCACAAUGGAACAGCGAGGAGCCCCGGUAACCACAACGGGAGGGUCACCAAACAUGAUGAGCGGGCAAUUAAAGGCUAACAAUGCCAUUGAAACCACAUCUGAGACCUCCCUACCACUCCUCCUCGGAAGUCCAUCUCCCACUGGUGCCAUUCGGGGAUCCAGCACACCUCCACUCCCCGACGAUAGCCCCGCAGGACCCUCCUCCACUUCCUCCCCAUUCAGCUUACCACUACACAUCUCGA
Long non-coding RNA from Platichthys flesus (European flounder), 568 nucleotides. RefSeq lists it as uncharacterized. The transcript has 3 exons. The record is from RefSeq and is a predicted model, not a curated record. NCBI's taxonomy places the organism in Eukaryota, Metazoa, Chordata, Actinopteri, Pleuronectiformes, Pleuronectidae.